This 72-nucleotide transfer RNA is filed under the name Mus musculus (house mouse). It matches the Rfam family "tRNA". Rfam says of the family: Transfer RNA (tRNA) molecules are approximately 80 nucleotides in length. Their secondary structure includes four short double-helical elements and three loops (D, anti-codon, and T loops). RNAcentral also lists the same sequence under 1 other name. The record is from Rfam by way of RNAcentral. Lineage: Eukaryota; Metazoa; Chordata; Mammalia; Rodentia; Muridae.
UAGGGUGUACCUCAGUGGUAGAGCAUUUGCCUAGUAUGUGCAAGGUCCUGGGUUCAAUCCCCAGCACUGUUG